Molecule: non-coding RNA, 102 nt
Filed under: Marininema halotolerans
Lineage: Bacteria; Bacillati; Bacillota; Bacilli; Caryophanales; Thermoactinomycetaceae
Description: Guanine sequence
Rfam family: Purine riboswitch aptamer
About the family: Riboswitches are metabolite binding domains within certain messenger RNAs that serve as precision sensors for their corresponding targets. Allosteric rearrangement of mRNA structure is mediated by ligand binding, and this results in modulation of gene expression.
Source: RNAcentral
CUAUCAUAAGAAAUGAGUUCUCAUAUAUGCUCGGGAAUAUGGCCUGAGCGUUUCUACCCGGAUACCGUAAAUUUCCGGACUAUGGGAAAAUCGAUCAGCACG